This 467-nucleotide ribosomal RNA is filed under the name uncultured bacterium. RNAcentral describes it as "partial 16S ribosomal RNA". It matches the Rfam family "Bacterial small subunit ribosomal RNA", at positions 28 to 506 of the family's 1533-position model. The record is from RNAcentral.
GACGAACGCUGGCGGCGUGCUUAACACAUGCAAGUCGAACGGAAAGGCCCUGCUUUUGUGGGGUGCUCGAGUGGCGAACGGGUGAGUAACACGUGAGUAACCUGCCCUUGACUUUGGGAUAACUUCAGGAAACUGGGGCUAAUACCGGAUAGGAGCUCCUGCUGCACGGUGGGGGUUGGAAAGUUUCGGCGGUUGGGGAUGGACUCGCGGCUUAUCAGCUUGUUGGUGGGGUAGUGGCUUACCAAGGCUUUGACGGGUAGCCGGCCUGAGAGGGUGACCGGCCACAUUGGGACUGAGAUACGGCCCAGACUCCUACGGGAGGCAGCAGUGGGGAAUAUUGCACAAUGGGCGGAAGCCUGAUGCAGCAACGCCGCGUGCGGGAUGACGGCCUUCGGGUUGUAAACCGCUUUCGCCUGUGACGAAGCGUGAGUGACGGUAAUGGGUAAAGAAGCACCGGCUAACUACGU